UAAUGCUCCAUAGUGGAUAUGUCCUGGAAUGGUAUAUCCUCGAAAGAUCCGUCGCCUUAGGAUGGGACUGCGUCCGAUUAGGUUGUUGGCGGGGUAACGGCCCACCAAGCCAUUGAUCGGUACGGGUUGUGGGAGCAAGAUCCCGGAGAUGGAUUCUGAGACAUGAAUCCAGGCCCUACGGGGCGCAGCAGGCGCGCAAACUUUACAAUGCGAGCAAUCGUGAUAAGGAAACCCUGAGUGCCUGUCGAUGCAGGCUGUUCAUAUAUCUAAAUCAUAUGUGAAGAAAGGGCAGGGCAAGACCGGUGCCAGCCGCCGCGGUAAUACCGGCUGCUCGAGUGAUGGCCACUAUUACUGGGUUUAAAGCGUCCGUAGCUUGACUGUUAGGUCUCUUGGGAAAUCUUCACGCUCAACGUGAAGGCGUCUAAGAGAUACCGGCAGUCUUGGAACUGGGAGAGGUAAACCGUACUUCGGGGGUAGGAGUGAAAUCUUGUAAUCCUCGAGGGACGACCUAUGGCGAAGGCAGUUUACCAAAACAGCUUCGACAGUGAAGGACGAAAGCUGGGGGACCAAACGGGAUUAAAUACCCCGGUAGUCCCAGCCGUAAACAAUGUGCGUUAGGUGU
This 622-nucleotide ribosomal RNA is filed under the name uncultured archaeon. RNAcentral's name for it is "bacterial SSU rRNA". It matches the Rfam family "Archaeal small subunit ribosomal RNA", at positions 147 to 774 of the family's 1478-position model. The record is from RNAcentral.